UCUUGCGUAGGUUAUAUUUUUAGACUAUCGGUUUGUGGUGCCGGCGGAUUCGUGAACGUAGGAA
This 64-nucleotide transfer RNA is filed under the name Azygia hwangtsiyui. Its description in RNAcentral is "tRNA-His". Lineage: Eukaryota; Metazoa; Platyhelminthes; Trematoda; Azygiida; Azygiidae. The record is from RNAcentral.